ACGAGUGGCGAACGGGUGAGUAACACGUGAGUAACCUGCCCACAACUUUGGGAUAACGCUAGGAAACUGGUGCUAAUACUGGAUAUGUGCUCCUGCUGCAUGGUGGGGGUUGGAAAGCUCCGGCGGUUUGGGAUGGACUCGCGGCUUAUCAGCUUGUUGGUGGGGUAGUGGCUUACCAAGGCUUUGACGGGUAGCCGGCCUGAGAGGGUGACCGGCCACAUUGGGACUGAGAUACGGCCCAG
RNAcentral lists this ribosomal RNA (242 nucleotides) under uncultured Actinomycetales bacterium. Its description in RNAcentral is "partial 16S ribosomal RNA". It matches the Rfam family "Bacterial small subunit ribosomal RNA", at positions 91 to 334 of the family's 1533-position model. Lineage: Bacteria; Bacillati; Actinomycetota; Actinomycetes; Actinomycetales. The record is from RNAcentral.